CCUGCACCAGCACCUGGGCCCUUCUCCAACACAGACCCGAACCAGGAAGAUCCGGAUAAAGACACUGUCUGCACUCUACUCAGAUGCCCUUUGAGUCUAUGCGCUGUUUCUGGGCUCAUCCUCCAGCCUCAACGUGUUUGCUGCCACACAGCAUGUCCUGUGGGACUGGAGAAAUAUGGAGAAUGCAGCACACUUGCUUCC
Molecule: long non-coding RNA, 201 nt
Filed under: Homo sapiens (human)
Lineage: Eukaryota; Metazoa; Chordata; Mammalia; Primates; Hominidae
Description: non-protein coding lnc-TMTC3-5:5
Source: RNAcentral